This 137-nucleotide small RNA is filed under the name Serratia rubidaea. RNAcentral describes it as "RtT sRNA". The stretch from base 15 to 137 matches the Rfam family "RtT RNA". From Rfam's summary of the family: This family represents a bacterial cis-regulatory element known as RtT RNA. The exact function of RtT is unknown although it is thought that it may be involved in changing the cellular response in relation to amino acid starvation. Lineage: Bacteria; Pseudomonadati; Pseudomonadota; Gammaproteobacteria; Enterobacterales; Yersiniaceae. RNAcentral also lists the same sequence under 1 other name. The record is from RNAcentral.
UGCGCUGGCCCGAAGGGCGAGUCUCGAAGAGACGAGUCACCUGCGUUCAGGUUCGAGCCGAGCGAAGCGAGACGACAACGCGUAGCGUUGCCCGUAGGGCGAGGCCGGAGGCCGAGUCAAUCCUGCACGACCCACUA